This is a long non-coding RNA of Aethalodelphis obliquidens (Pacific white-sided dolphin), 121 nucleotides long. RefSeq lists it as uncharacterized. Lineage: Eukaryota; Metazoa; Chordata; Mammalia; Artiodactyla; Delphinidae. The transcript has 3 exons. The record is from RefSeq and is a predicted model, not a curated record.
CACAGCAAUCCUGAGAAAGAAGAGCAGAGCUCGAAGUGUCACACUUCUGGAUUUCAAACUAACUACAGAACUACAGUAAUCAAAAUAGUGUAAUAGGGCUUCCCUGGUGGCGCAGUGGUUG